AACAGGGCGCACGAGUACGUUGACGUAGACCCGAAACCAAGUGACCUACCCAUGUCCAGGUUGAAAGUGCGGUAAAACGCACCGGAGGACCGAACCCAUGUAUGUUGAAAAAUGCUGGGAUGAGGUGUGGGUAGCGGUGAAAUUCCAAACGAACUUGGAGAUAGCUGGUUCUCUCCGAAAUAGCUUUAGGGCUAGCCUCGGAAGUUAAGGAUCGUGGAGGUAGAGCACUGUUUGGACUAGGGGCCCGUCUUGGGUUACUGAAUUCAGAUAAACUCCGAAUGCCACUGAUCUUGUUCCGGGAGUCAGACUGCGAGUGAUAAGAUCCGUAGUCGAAAGGGAAACAGCCCAGACCACCAAUUAAGGUCCCUAAAUAUGUGUUAAGUGGAAAAGGAUGUGGGAUCGCACAGACAACUAGGAUGUUGGCUCAGAAGCAGCCAUCAUUCAAAGAGUGCGUAAUAGCUCACUAGUCGAGUGAUCCUGCGCCGAAAAUGUAACGGGGCUAAACACAUUACCGAAAUUGUGGAU
This 525-nucleotide non-coding RNA is filed under the name Ligilactobacillus pobuzihii. Its description in RNAcentral is "Lactobacillus pobuzihii Bacterial large subunit ribosomal RNA". It matches the Rfam family "Bacterial large subunit ribosomal RNA", at positions 686 to 1207 of the family's 2925-position model. Lineage: Bacteria; Bacillati; Bacillota; Bacilli; Lactobacillales; Lactobacillaceae. The record is from Rfam by way of RNAcentral.